CAGAUUUUUAUUUUAGAAAGGUAAGGGUAGAGGAAGGAGGAGUAGAAGCUUACCUGUUGGGAAACUAUUGCAGUCAACUAGUCAGGAAAAGCUGAUGGCUUCAAUUACAACACUGACAACUUAGGUGGAGAAGAGGAGGUGGAUCGAAGGUCAAUUUUGAAGAAUUUGUGUCUUGAGCCAGGAAGGCGGCGGUUUGCACCCAAAGUGCUUCAGGACUGGAGCCAACAGGAGGCCAGGUUAUGAAUGUCAGGAGACCU
Molecule: long non-coding RNA, 257 nt
Filed under: Pan troglodytes (chimpanzee)
Lineage: Eukaryota; Metazoa; Chordata; Mammalia; Primates; Hominidae
Description: long non-coding RNA NONPTRT003164
Source: RNAcentral